UACGGAGGGUGCGAGCGUUGUCCGGAAUCACUGGGCGUAAAGGGCGCGUAGGCGGCGCGGGCAGUCAACGGUGAAAGCUCGGGGCUCAACUCCGAGUCGGCCGUCGAUACUCCCGUGCUCGAGCACUGUAGAGGCAGGUGGAAUUCCGGGUGUAGCGGUGGAAUGCGUAGAGAUCCGGAAGAACACCGGUGGCGAAGGCAGCCUGCUGGGCAGUAGCUGACGCUGAGGCGCGACAGCGUGGGGAGCAAACAGG
This 253-nucleotide ribosomal RNA is filed under the name uncultured bacterium. Its description in RNAcentral is "partial 16S ribosomal RNA". It matches the Rfam family "Bacterial small subunit ribosomal RNA", at positions 524 to 776 of the family's 1533-position model. The record is from RNAcentral.